AUUGAACGCUAGCGGGAUGCCUUACACAUGCAAGUCGAACGGAGUGGCGAACGGGUGAGUAAUGUAUCGGAACGUGCCCAGUAGCGGGGGAUAACUACGCGAAAGCGUAGCUAAUACCGCAUACUAUUGGAGCGGCCGAUAUCGGAUUAGCUCGUUGGUGGGGUAACGGCGCACAAAGGCGACGAUCCGGAGCUGGUUUGAGAGGACGACCAGCCACACUGGGACUGAGACACGGCCCAGACUCCUCCGGGAGGCAGCAGUGGGGAAUUUUGGACAAUGGGGGAAACCCUGAUGCAGCCGUGCCGCGUGUGUGAAGAAGGCCUGCGGGUUGUAAAGCACUGUCAGCGAGGAGGCGUUACUCGCAGAAGAAGCACCGGCUAACUCCGUGCCAGCAGCCGCGGUAAUAC
This 407-nucleotide ribosomal RNA is filed under the name uncultured bacterium. RNAcentral describes it as "partial 16S ribosomal RNA". It matches the Rfam family "Bacterial small subunit ribosomal RNA", at positions 29 to 526 of the family's 1533-position model. The record is from RNAcentral.